GUAAAGCACUUUCAGUCGUGAGGAAGGCGGCGUCGUUAAUAGCGGCGUUGUUUGACGUUAGCGACAGAAGAAGCACCGGCUAACUCCGUGCCAGCAGCCGCGGUAAUACGGAGGGUGCGAGCGUUAAUCGGAAUUACUGGGCGUAAAGCGCAUGCAGGUGGUUUGUUUAAGUCAGAUGUGAAAGACCCGGGGCGUUAACCUCGGAAUAGCAUUUGAAACUAGGCAGACUAGAGUACUGUAGAGGGGGGUAGGAAUUUCAGGUGUAGCGGUGAAAUGCGUAGAGAUCUGAAGGAAUACCGGUGGCGAAGGCGGCCCCCUCGGACAGAUACUGACACUCAGAUGCGAAAGCGUGGGGAGCAAACAGGAUUAGAUACCCUGGUAG
Molecule: ribosomal RNA, 382 nt
Filed under: uncultured bacterium
Lineage: Bacteria
Description: bacterial SSU rRNA
Rfam family: Bacterial small subunit ribosomal RNA
Source: RNAcentral